RNAcentral lists this ribosomal RNA (652 nucleotides) under uncultured bacterium. RNAcentral describes it as "bacterial SSU rRNA". It matches the Rfam family "Bacterial small subunit ribosomal RNA", at positions 60 to 751 of the family's 1533-position model. The record is from RNAcentral.
AGUCGAGCGGAAACACUUCGGGUGUCGAGCGGCGGACGGCUGAGUAACGCGUAGGAAUGUACCCCAAAGUGAGGGAUAAGCACCGGAAACGGUGUCUAAUACCGCAUAUGAUCUUCGGAUUAAAGCUUUAUGCGCUUUGGGAACAGCCUGCGUCUGAUUAGUUAGUUGGUGAGGUAAAAGCUCACCAAGACAAUGAUCGGUAGCUGGUCUGAGAGGAUGACCAGCCAGACUGGGACUGAGACACGGCCCAGACUCCUACGGGAGGCAGCAGUAGGGAAUUUUCCACAAUGGGCGAAAGCCUGAUGGAGCAACGCCGCGUGCAGGAUGAAGGCUUUCGGGUCGUAAACUGCUUUUAUAUAUGAAGAUUUUGACGGUAAUAUAUGAAUAAGGAUCGGCUAACUCCGUGCCAGCAGCCGCGGUCAUACGGAGGAUCCAAGCGUUAUCCGGAAUUACUGGGCGUAAAGAGUUGCGUAGGCGGUCAAGUAAGCAGAGUGUGAAAUGAUGUGGCUCAACCACAUGCCCAUGCUUUGAACUGCUUUGACUAGAGAAUGGGAGAGGUUACUAGAAUUCCUGGUGUAGGGGUGAAAUCCGUAGAUAUCAGGAGGAAUACCGAUGGCGUAGGCAGGUAACUGGCCCAUUUCUGACGCUCAGG